This 500-nucleotide ribosomal RNA is filed under the name uncultured bacterium. Its description in RNAcentral is "partial 16S ribosomal RNA". It matches the Rfam family "Bacterial small subunit ribosomal RNA", at positions 30 to 523 of the family's 1533-position model. The record is from RNAcentral.
AUUGAACGCUGGCGGCAUGCCUUACACAUGCAAGUCGAACGGCAGCACGGGAGCAAUCCUGGUGGCGAGUGGCGAACGGGUGCGUAAAGUAUCGGAACGUGCCCAGUCGUGGGGGAUAACGUAGCGAAAGUUACGCUAAUACCGCAUACGAUCUAUGGAUGAAAGCGGGGGAUCGCAAGACCUCGCGCGAUUGGAGCGGCCGAUAUCAGAUUAGGUAGUUGGUGGGGUAAAGGCUCACCAAGCGGACGAUCUGUAGCUGGUCUGAGAGGACGACCAGACAGACUGAGACUUAGACACGGACAAGACUCCGCCGGGAGGCAGCAGUGGGGAAUUUUGGACAAUUGGCGCAAGCCUGAUCCAGCCAUGCCGCGUGCAGGAUGAAGGCCUUCGGGUUGUAAACUGCUUUUGUACGGAACGAAAAGGUUUGGCCUAAUAAGCUGAGCUCAUGACGGUACCGUAAGAAUAAGCACCGGCUAACUACGUGCCAGCAGCCGCAGUAA